RNAcentral lists this ribosomal RNA (551 nucleotides) under uncultured bacterium. RNAcentral describes it as "bacterial SSU rRNA". It matches the Rfam family "Bacterial small subunit ribosomal RNA", at positions 958 to 1511 of the family's 1533-position model. The record is from RNAcentral.
AACGCGAAGAACCUUACCAGCUCUUGACAUCCCGUGCCACGCCCAGAGAUAGGCGGUCCUCUUCGGAGGCGCGGAGACAGGUGCUGCAUGGCUGUCGUCAGCUCGUGUCGUGAGAUGUUGGGUUAAGUCCCGCAACGAGCGCAACCCUCGCCUUUAGUUGCCAGCAUUCAGUUGGGCACUCUAGAGGGACUGCCGGUGAUAAGCCGGAGGAAGGUGGGGAUGACGUCAAGUCCUCAUGGCCCUUACGGGCUGGGCUACACACGUGCUACAAUGGCGGUGACAGUGGGCAGCAAAGCCGCAAGGCCAAGCUAAUCUCCAAAAGCCGUCUCAGUUCGGAUUGCACUCUGCAACUCGAGUGCAUGAAGUUGGAAUCGCUAGUAAUCGCAGAUCAGAAUGCUGCGGUGAAUACGUUCCCGGGCCUUGUACACACCGCCCGUCACACCAUGGGAGUUGGGUUUACCCGAAGGCAGUGCGCUAACCGCAAGGGGGCAGCUGACCACGGUAGGCUCAGCGACUGGGGUGAAGUCGUAACAAGGUAACCUUAAUUAAAA